GGGCCCGGAAGAUAUUC
Molecule: ribosomal RNA, 17 nt
Filed under: Symbiodinium sp.
Lineage: Eukaryota; Dinophyceae; Suessiales; Symbiodiniaceae
Description: partial 18S ribosomal RNA
Source: RNAcentral